Long non-coding RNA from Pygocentrus nattereri (red-bellied piranha), 1441 nucleotides. NCBI's taxonomy places the organism in Eukaryota, Metazoa, Chordata, Actinopteri, Characiformes, Serrasalmidae. The record is from Ensembl.
GGCAUCAGGACACAUAUCUACAGGAAGGGUGGAAAAUAGAACAAGAAGAGAGGGUUAUAUACUUUAAAAGUGCUGCCAGUUUUCCACUCAGCUACUUGUUUAAAAACACAAAACAGGCAGUCGAAGUUAGGUAAAUCAGACGGUGCAGUUGGUGCAGUCAGUCUACCUCCUCUGUAGGCUUCUCGACCUGCGUGCCCUCCCCUGCCUCAUCGAGAACAGGAACCAGGUAUCUGUUGCUGUCAUUUCUGAGAGACUGCAAUACAGAGAUGCUUGACUACAGGAUCAUUCUCAUCGUCGCGAUCCUCACCAUCUUUCAUUCAACAAUUUCUGAGUACCACGUUCAUGCGAAGAACGGCCCACACUGCAAAUCAAAUGUCAAAGACAUGCUCCUGGCUAUACAGAGAGUAACUGCAAACGACAACACUGCUUCAGUCCACUGCCCAACACUGAAAGAUGAUGAGGAGAACGUUCACAUCAGUCUAUACAGAAACACAUGUGAACUGCACUCGACUGAUUUCAGAAGGACUCAACCAUCGAACAACUCAGAUCUCCAGCACAGGCUUCAUUUAUCCAUUGAGAAGAAUACAGUCUAUUAUCUGAUAAGCCUGCCUCAAGUCAAUGACACAAGCCUGUACUGUUGUGAAGUCCAGCAUGGCACCACUGACAGCAGAACAGCCUGCACUUUGCUACUUGUUAAAGAUGCAGUUCCUUUCUGUUCUUAUGAGGGAGGACCAGUGUACUGGCUGAUGCUAACUGUAGGCUGUGGGCUAUUUGCUUUGUACGGCCUUAUUGUCACUGUUGUCACCUGUUCCUUUUGUCGGAAACUCAAGAACGAAGAGGAAGAUCAGAAUGAUUAUUGCAACACAAAACCAGGAGAAUUCAAAAGAGCCAAAUGAAUUCAGUCUAGCUUCAACAGCAAAUUACUGCCCACCUGUGCAUCUACAACUGAAUAUAUGACCAGUACAAUGUACCCAUUAAAGAGCAGCAAUCUGCAAUCAUGUGUUACAAAGACAACCAACCACUGAUCCAUAACUAGAACAUAUACAGUCAACUGUAUGUCUGAUUCAGUUCAUUCAAUAGGUUUAAUAACUCUCAUUAUAUUCUGCAUUUUUAUUACGUCUUGUAAAUAUUUGUUGUCUUUGAAUACUGUGACAUCUUCCAUCUACUAAUGUAACAAUACUCUAACAUAUACAACAUCUAUGCAGACUGUGGACCUGUUGUUUAAGACAAUGUAAAAAUUGUGCUCUACAGUAUUUUUUGACUUUUAGACUCAUUAUUUAGAUCUUUGUUUUAGCAUAAUGAAAACUUUGUGCCAAUCAGUAUUAACUUUGUGCAUCAUCAUUAUUGGAAUCCAAAUAAAUGUAAUUCAGGUGUACCGCUCGCUGUUGUCUCAUCUUUUCUUAGUUAUAACAUUAAAACAACUUUCUGAAGAAUAGAAUCA